Molecule: long non-coding RNA, 1011 nt
Filed under: Oryctolagus cuniculus (rabbit)
Lineage: Eukaryota; Metazoa; Chordata; Mammalia; Lagomorpha; Leporidae
Description: lncRNA (ENSOCUG00000031934.1)
Source: RNAcentral
AUGUGCACAGACACACACCACACACUGUACAUGCUCCUGUGCACAGAUAUACACCACACACUGUACACGCUCCUGUGCACAGAUACACACCACACACAGCAUGUGCUCCUGUGCACACACACACCACACACAGCAGGUGCUCCUGUGCACACACACACACCACACACAGCAGGUGCUCCUGUGCACACACACACCACACACUGCAGGUGCUCCUGUGCACACACACCACACACAGCAGGUGCCCCUGUGCAUGCACACACCACACACAGCAGGUGCCCCUGUGCACACACACACCACACACAGCAGGUGCUCCUGUGCACACACACACCACACACAGCAGGUGCUCCUGUGCACACACACACCACACACAGGACGUGCUCACGUGCACACACACUUCACACACGUGUACAUGCGUGUCCCCAGCACUGUGCCAGUCCCAGCAGCCCCACAGGAGUGGUCUUCAGAGCAGCAAUGCUCAGUGGGCAGCAGGUCAAUGGGCUGCCUGUUGGGUGCUCCAGGGGUCUGGGGUCUCCCUCAGCCCACUGUGAAUGGAGGGGCUGGGUGAGCAGGCGCGGACCACCAAGGGAGGGCAGGUCUUCAGGGUGUCCUGGGCUGAGCCGGUGUCUCACCCAUAACCGACGUGCCAGGAGCAGCCAGGGCCUUCUCCCCAAGGUCAUUCACCUCCGGCACCUGCAGCCUCAGGAGUCUGGUUCUGAAGACGCUGGGGUUGGGGGAGCCGAGACAGCAGCCCCUCCCACGAUGAGGAAAGUACGCCGUGUGCAAACCUGGAGACGAGUGUACAGCCUGCGCAGGACGACCCCGCUGCUGACAGUCAGAGGGAUCAGCUCCACCCAGACAAGCCAGGGCUGCACAGCUGCGGGCUCUGUGGCAACUCUUGCCUUGAGGAUUCGUGCAAGUGCACAGAGGAGCCUCUGGGGCAAGGUCAUUACCUUCGAGCUGGACACAAAACUGGAAGAAACGGCUCGUGUUAGGAAGAAGCGCUGCUGCUGA